CGUUUGCUUUCAUUUUCGGUUUUACUACUUCCGGGUACAACAACAUGUGGAAUAUAUAAAGUCGUAACAGAGAAUCGGCGCUAAUUUGUAAUUUGGUGUAUUGUUAAGCGAUCGGCUGCAUACAUGAGACGGGGAAAACCCUGCCAUGUAGUUUAUUUAGGUUCCUAGUCGAUGCUACAGUAAGGAAGCGGUGGAUACAAAGAUGUAGACACAAAGUUACGAAACCUGCUGAAGCAGAAGCAUCUGCUUCAAAUGUACAUGUAGGAACCGAAAUUGAUACUGCUACCAAUAUAUCUGUACCAGACAACAAUGAAGUGCAUCUACAUGAUCACGAGUAUUAACAGCACCAAACCCUCAACAUUUAAAAAGCUUCCCUUGAAGACUAUGAUGUUGUAAACUUGCAGUGAGAAAUAUACCUGCUUAAUUAAAGGAAACCAUCCAUGACAAUUGGGAACAUCAUAAUUGAAAGACCCUGGAAAGGGAUCAUGAACACUGUUGGGAGUGUCCAUUCAACUGAAAUAUAAAAGUAAGAAGAAUUGAAGAUUGCAAUGGAUGCAACAGAAGUGACCUAAUAUGACCAAAUUGAUAUGAAUAGCCAGUUUUUCGCUUGCAGUAAUGACAAGAGUCGCCACAAAGAAAAGACCUUAAUGUGUAUUACACCUAAUGCAGCUUAUUUCCAAUCUGUAUGCUGGAUACAAAUCUAAUUUGGCAAUUGUGAACCAUUGUGACAUUUUAGAGAAGUUGCAAGUUGGUGAUAUAUUCCUGGCGGACAAAGGAUUUUGUUUUUUUGACAAACUUCCAAAUGACAUGACACUUAAUAUCCCAUUCUUUCUUACAAAUAAAUCCCACUUCUCAAAAGAGGAUGCACAACUUUGCUAUAAAAUUUCCAGAUGCAGAAUCCAUGUUGGAUGGGAAAAUGAGAGAUCUUUUUUUUUUUAAAUUCCUUAGCCAUUAUAGAUAUUGAUCUGACAAAAUAUUUCAGAUUUGUGUGGAUCAUGUGAAUUUGCAGGUUCCCCUUUUGAAGGAGAUUGCAGAUAAAUCCUACAAACUUAUUAGAUUAAUUGCAUGUAUAUAUAUAUACCUUAAAUCUGCACAUACCUGCCACAUUGAAUUUUUAAAGUUAAAAGUAAUGAAUACCAUAUAUGCAAUAUAACUUUACUACAUAUUUAUUUAAAUAUAAAGCCUUUUAUAUUCAUAUGAAUAUAAAGCCCUUUGGAACGUCUCCAUCAGAAUGAAAUAUUCUCGAGAGGAAUGUUAAACAAUAUACAAUCAAACAUAAAGCCUUUUGUUCUCAUUCUGAAGGUUUUCAAAUCUGCAUUAUUAAAAAAGAAGUAAAAUCCAUUGUUUGAGUAAAUGCAUGUAAUUGGAUGAUUUUUGUAAAGCUGGACACUGUGUCUAUACAUACAUGUAUUUUGGUUCAUCUAAAAUAAGAAAAACGCUUGUCUAUAAUGUUUAUUCAAUAAAUAUACAUGUAAUUACAUAACUUUGAUAGAUGCACCACUGAUAUCAUAAUAAAGUAUAUGUACAUGUG
Long non-coding RNA from Ostrea edulis (European flat oyster), 1531 nucleotides. RefSeq lists it as uncharacterized. The record is from RefSeq and is a predicted model, not a curated record. NCBI's taxonomy places the organism in Eukaryota, Metazoa, Mollusca, Bivalvia, Ostreida, Ostreidae. The transcript has 4 exons.